This is a long non-coding RNA of Xiphophorus hellerii (green swordtail), 599 nucleotides long. RefSeq lists it as uncharacterized. The transcript has 3 exons. The record is from RefSeq and is a predicted model, not a curated record. NCBI's taxonomy places the organism in Eukaryota, Metazoa, Chordata, Actinopteri, Cyprinodontiformes, Poeciliidae.
GGAAGAAGAGAAGGAGGAAGAGGAAGAAGACAGCUGAUCUCCACCUUGCAGGGAGGAAAGCAGGUGGUUCAGACGGUGCAGAUGUUGGUGAACUGCAGACCAUCGCGGUUCUUCCUGCAGCCUCUGAGUUGGAGGAUCUCAUCAGUGUCCGUCUUCCUGACCGCCGGUCGGUUUUUACCUCCAGGAUGUCCAGAGACCUUCAGCUUCUGGAGCAGGAACCACAUGAGCUCCAUGUGCUGAUGAAACAUUUCUAAUUUAAAAUGUGUCUGAUGUUCUUAGAGUUGAAGUGCAUUAACAAUCUGUUGUUUUUCACUUCAAUAUGUUUAAUUAUGAUUCAUCUGAUGUCCAAGUUACACUGAGAACAAAUAAAACUGUAUUCCUUCUAAUCUGACUGGUUCUAGUUUUAAUCAAACCUUCAUGUUUCCACUUUUUAGUCUCUAAGAAUUAAAAGUUUAAACUCUUAGUCUUAUUUAUCACUAAUUAAGGUUCCAGGAUUGUAUUAGGACCUUGAUGCCAAACAAACUACAGUUUGUACAAUAAUGUGAGGAGAGAUUAUAAAAAAGAGACUUUGUUCACUGAGAGAAAACAGCAUUUAUUUU